GACGAACGCUGGCGGCGUGCCUAAUACAUGCAAGUUGAGCGCUGAAGGUUGGUACUUGUACCAACUGGAUGAGCAGCGAACGGGUGAGUAACGCGUGGGGAAUCUGCCUUUGAGCGGGGGACAACAUUUGGAAACGAAUGCUAAUACCGCAUAAAAACUUUAAACACAAGUUUUAAGUUUGAAAGAUGCAAUUGCAUCACUCAAAGAUGAUCCCGCGUUGUAUUAGCUAGUUGGUGAGGUAAAGGCUCACAAGGCGAUGAUACAUAGCCGACCUGAGAGGGUGAUCGGCCACAUUGGGACUGAGACACGGCCCAAACUCCUACGGGAGGCAGCAGUAGGGAAUCUUCGGCAAUGGACGAAAGGCUGACCGAGCAACGCCGCGUGAGUGAAGAAGGUUUUCGGAUCGUAAAACUCUGUUGGUAGAGAAGAAAGUUGGUGAGAGUGGAAAGCUCAUCAAGUGACGGUAACUACCCAGAAAGGGACGGCUAACUACGUG
This 496-nucleotide ribosomal RNA is filed under the name uncultured bacterium. Its description in RNAcentral is "partial 16S ribosomal RNA". It matches the Rfam family "Bacterial small subunit ribosomal RNA", at positions 28 to 507 of the family's 1533-position model. The record is from RNAcentral.